UAACUGACUGAGCCACCCAGGCGCCCCUUUUAUCAUUUCUUAUAAAACCUGAAUAACGAUACUCUACUGUAGGUUGUAUAGCACAUUUUUAUUCUCCCCAAAGAAGGCAUGAACAUAUGAGAAAAAUCAAGAACAGAUGACCAAGGCUGUUUGAGGAGAUCAAAGGAGCUAAUGGAUGCAAGUGAGACUAUUUUGCUAAAAGCAUGAAGCCACAUGGAAAUACAAGGUUUUCUCAGUCUAUCUCUCUUAUAAUUGAGUAGGGGCUUUAGUUUGCUUUGAUGUAGCCACCAACCUUUCAGAGCAGCAUUCGGACUACAGUUUGGUUUCAAGCUCAAUGUAAAGGCAGGGGGCUCACCAACAUCACUAACCAUGGACUAACAGAACAUUUGAUGCACAGAUACAGGACCCCACAUAGCACUGAACCAUUGAAGAACCAAGGAUCCAAAUCUGCAGCAAAUGAAAAGCACCAAUGGCACAUAAUCUGUGGUCUUCUGACAUAUUACACGCCCCAAAUACUGCUAGCAUAAAAGAGUAAUGGAGUGUUUUUUGAAGUCAAAGCUAAUGUACCAGGGGGGAAGAUUUUUGGAAACCCAAGCGCUGAUUACAGAGGCAGAGGGUAUAAUUAUUUCAAUAAUGAGUUGUCUCAGGAACCAGAAUUUCCAUUAAGAAAAGAGGACAAAGGAAAGCUACAAAAUCCUCCUGAAGUAGAAUACUGGGUUUUAGUUCUGCAAAGA
Neofelis nebulosa (Clouded leopard) is the source of this 734-nucleotide long non-coding RNA. RefSeq lists it as uncharacterized. The transcript is spliced from 4 exons. The record is from RefSeq and is a predicted model, not a curated record. NCBI's taxonomy places the organism in Eukaryota, Metazoa, Chordata, Mammalia, Carnivora, Felidae.